ACACUCUAGUGUCUUCUUUUUGAGAUCGCUUAAAUCUUUCGCCUUUUACUAACGAUUUCCUUGGAGAGGAACAUUGAGUAUCAACACAUUUUUUGUUGUCCGGCCGUAUGGCCGUAU
Molecule: small nuclear RNA, 117 nt
Filed under: Oncorhynchus mykiss (rainbow trout)
Lineage: Eukaryota; Metazoa; Chordata; Actinopteri; Salmoniformes; Salmonidae
Description: U5 spliceosomal RNA
Rfam family: U5 spliceosomal RNA
About the family: U5 RNA is a component of both types of known spliceosome. The precise function of this molecule is unknown, though it is known that the 5' loop is required for splice site selection and p220 binding, and that both the 3' stem-loop and the Sm site are important for Sm protein binding and cap methylation.
Source: Rfam by way of RNAcentral